CUCUGUAUCUUUUAUAUCAGUAAAGAUUAUGUGAAUAUAUGUGCAUUCUUCUUUUCCUCCAGAGAGCCAGUUUUUAAACAUUUAGCAGCACAGCAUGGCCAUCAUCCACCUCCUAUGUGGGCUUUGCUAAAAUGUUCACCAAAGAAAACUGGAGUCUCAAGAAAAAGAGUAGGAGCUCCCAUUGUGGUUCAGCGGGUUAUGAAUCUGACGAUGUCUCUGUGGGGAUGCAGAUUCAAUUCCUGGCCUCAUUCAGUGGGUUAAGGAUCCAGCAUUGCCGCAAGCUUCGGCAUAGGUCACAGAUGCAGCUCAGAUCCAGUGUGGCUGUGGCUGUGAUGUAGGCUGACACCUGCAGCUCCAAUUCAACUCCUGGCCUGGGAAACUCCCUAUGCUGCAAGUGCAGCCAUAAAAAGAAAAAGAGUAAAACAGAUUUGCAAGAAGCAUCAGGAAUGACAGGGAAUAGAGAUUAAUCCCCAAAGCCUCUGGAUUUCCAGCUCUCUACUCCGGUUCUUCCUGGAGUCUCACGUCCAACUCCAUUCCCAAAACACCACGGCAUCUACCUUUGGAAGGUACUUUUUUUUCACCUUUAAAUGUUUCUGAAUUCAGGAUGCAUUUUACAGUCAAUGUGUUUGUAGUGAGUGCUGUGGUAUUCUGCACAGACACUCUCUUCAGGGCCAAAGCACUCGCCCCCCAUCUGCUGGAAAAUGGGGGCACCUGGCAGCUGCCUCCUUCACUGGGUACAGACCCAGGCUGCAGAGAACUGCUGCAGCCAAGGUUACAUUUCCUCUUGGGGAGGGGGGAUGCCCACAACCACUGACUGACUGGAGAUUCCAAAGCCCAGCUCCAUUGCCUCAACUUAGGACAACUCUAAAGGGCUGUUCUAGCUCCAGAGCUUCCCAAGGACCACAGGGAAUCUUAGUUGCAACUUGUUUGCGGUUGAGCUUCUUCCUUUGCCAAAUCCUGCCUUCCUCAUUUCCUAACAGAUAAUUCUCCAAGAGCCGUCUCCAGGAAACCACAAACACAUGCAUGCAGAGAAGAGAAAUGUUUUGACUGGUAGACACAGGUAUCGUGGUUCAGUUGUUAGGAGACUCUUAAAUUGGCCUGCUAGAAUUCUGUUUGUGUUUUAAUUUUAUGGCUGCACCUGAGGUAUACUCCAGUUCCAGGGCCAGGGACUGAAUCCAAGCUAUAGCUGCAACCUACGCCACAGCUGUGGCAAUGCCAGAUCCUUAACCCAGUGCUCUGGUCAGGGAUGGAAACUGCACCUCCACAAUGACCUGAGCCGCUGAAAUCAGAUUCUUAACCCACUGCACCACAGCAGGAACUCCUGGCCUGCUAGUUUUUACAUCAGUCAUUUUUGUGACUAUGGUGAUCCAGUUACUCCAGACCCUGACACUAAUCUGGUGCCACAAGUAAAAUGGAAGUUAAGGAUGCUAAAAGCUGAGAAGCAGAGCUUGGAUCCUGGUAGGUUUGUAAAUAUCAAUGGCCUUGAGAAGAUCAGGUUGAGAGACCAGUGGACAAUUCCCACUUAGAUCUUUUUCUCUUGAACUUUCCCAGUGAUCAGAUGAGGGGGUCAGGCCAUCUACCACCCCAGUCCCCAUUCCUACUUUCUUGAAUUAUUGGCUACUCUAUUUUAUUUGUCCCAAAGCUUUUGUACUGUUUUAUUGGUGGGGCAUGUAAAAUGAAUAAAAUAAAGAGUGAGUACCUGGGAGUUCCCACCGUGGCUCAGUGGUGAAGAACCCGAUGAGUAUCCAUGAGGAUGCAGGUUGGAUCCCUGGCCUUGCUCAGUGGGUUAAGGAUCCACCGUUGUUGCAAGCUGCAGUGUAGGUAACAGAUGUGGCUCAGAUCUGGUGUUGUCCUGACUGUGGCAUAGGCCAGCAGCUCCAGCUCCAGUUGGACCCUUAAUUCAGGAACUUCCAUAUGCGCAAGCGCAGCAAAAAAAAAAAAAAAAAAAAAAAAAGAGUAUAGUGCCAUGUGCAACAACAUGGAUGGACCUAGCAUAUAUUAUGCUUAGUGAAAUAAGUCGGAGAAAGACAUAUACAUACACGUUUGUAUGUAUAUGUAUAUGUUUUCAUUUACAGGUGGAAUCUGGAAAAGAAAAUGAAUGAAUAUUACAAAAUAGAAACAGACUCACAGAUAUAGAGAACAAACCAUUGGUUACAGUGUGGAGAGGGAAGGGGGAGGAAUCAUCUAAGGGGAAGAGGAUUAAGAGAUACAAACUAAUAGGUACAAAAUUUAAAAAGCUACAAGCAUAUACUGUACAGCACAGGGAAUAUGGCCAAUGUUUUAUGAUAACAUUAAAUCAAGUAUUAUCUUUAAAAAUAUUGAAUCACUAUGUUGAAACUGGUAUAAUAUUGUAAACCAAUUAUACUUCAAUUUUUUAAAAUAAAUGAAAAAUGAAUUAUAAUUUUUAAACUUUAAAAAUUAAUUAAAAGAGUCAGGAGGGGAAAAAAAAUCAAGAUUAGGAUUGAGGAAGAAAAAAAAAACAAGGACACAAAAAGUGUUAAAGGAAAUAUGGGAAAUCCUACCUGCAGCUCAAUGGAAAUAAAUCUGAAACCCAAACUAUAGGGGUGAUUUCCUAGCAAAAAUCUAAGCUACUGAAAUUGUUCAACAAAAAGUAGAAAACUGAAAUAAGCAAUUAGAAUAGUGAGAAAGAAGAGGUGAUUGUAGAUUUUCCUUUUUUUUUUUUUUUCUUUUUAGGGCCACGCCCACAGCCUAUGGAAGUUCCCAGGCUAGGGGUCUAAUUGGAGCUGCAGCUGCUGGUCUAUGCCACAGUCACAGCAACCCUAGAUUCAAUCCACAUCUGUGACCUACACAACAGCUUGCAGCAAUGCCAGAUCCUUAACCCACCGAUCGAGCCCAGGAAUCAAACCCGCAUCCUCAUGGAUACUAGUUGCAUUCUUAACCCACUGAGCCACAAUGGGAACUCCAUGGAUUUUCCAUUUUAAAAGGCACUAGAUUCAGAUGCUUUCACUGCUAAGAUCCAUGUAAUCUUUUUCCCCCCUUGGCCACACCUGCAGCAUGCAGAAGUUCCUGGGCCGGUUAUGGAACCUAUGCCACAGCAGCAACCCAAGCCACCGCAGUGACAACACCGGAUCCCUAACCACUGCACCACAUGAGAACUCUGAGAUCCAUGUAAUCUUUAAACAACAGAUAACUCAGACUUUCUGGUCUCAGAAGCCCUUUCUAUUUGUAAAAACUCUUGAGGACUACAGAAAGUCUUUGUUUAUGUGAUUAUGAUUAUCAAUAUUUAUCAUACUAAAAAUUAAAACAGAAAAAAAAUCUCAAAUUAUUAAUUCACUUCAAAAUAACAAUGACAGGAGUUCCCAUAAUGGCUUAGUGGAAACGAAUCUGAUUAGUAUCCAGGAGGACACAAGUUCAAUCCCUGGCCUCUCAGUGGGUGAAGGAUCUGGCGUUGCUGUGAGGUGUGGUGUAGGUCGCAGAUGUGGCUUGGAUCUGGCAUUGCUGUGGCUGUGGUGUAGGCAGGUGGCUGUAACUCCAAUUCAGCUGCUAACCUGGGAACCUCAUUAUGCCAUGGGUGCGGCCCUAAAAAGACAAAACAAAUAAACAAAAAAACAAAAAACAAUGACGAACACAUUAUAUCUUAAUACAAAUAAUAUGUUUUUGUGGAAAAAAAUGGUAUUUCCAAAAAAAUUUAAGGAGAAGAGUGGUGUUCUUUUACAUUGUUGCAAAUUUCUUUAAUGUCUAGCCUAAGAAAUCUGAAUUCGGGAGGAGUUCCCGUCGUGGCGCAGUGGUUAACGAAUCCGACUAGGAACCAUGAGGUUGCGGGUUCGGUCCCUGCCCUUGCUCAGUGGGUUGACGAUCUGGCGUUGCCGUGAACUGUGCGAGGUCAGGGAUCAAACCUACAUCCUCAUGGAUACUAGUCAAAUUCAUUUCUGCUGAGCCAUGACGGGAACUUCUAUCUUGAACUUAAAUGGAUCUUUUACUUCUGCAGGAUUUUGUAACAUCACGUAUUGGUCGUCUGGAAGAUAUUAGUUCACUAAUUUAUGCAGAUCUUCCAAAUAUUGACACACUAUAUUACAUAUUUUUAAAAUCACAUGGAUUAAUAUCACCUCCUCCAUUUCCUUAGAAAAGCCUUUUAAUUAUAGGAAAGACAUUAAGCUCAUGGUGGCAGAUACAAUUUACUAAUUGUAAAAUGCUAAUUUUUACUGAAAGCUCACAUUUCAUCUCUAGCAACAAAUAUUGUCAGUUCUUUGCAUUCAGUGACAGGCUCCCUUUGUUCAUUUGCAAAAAAAAAAAAAACAAAAAACAAAAAACCUCCCAAAUACCCUUAUCUGAAUAACCGCAUUCCAUUUAUUGGUCAUUCUCUAAGUAAAAGUAGUACGCCAUGAAAAAAAAAGAGCUAGUUCAGCCUGCAGUUUAAACAUUGCACUUGCUCUUCCUAAAACCGACCAUCAGAUUUCAGUAUGCAAAGAAGUGCUUUAUGUGUACUUCCUGUUUCAUCUCACAGAAUAUUAAAAAGAUGCCUACUCAUGUGGCAAGAGUUGGUAAAAUUAAUCAUUUUUACUGCUUUAUUAAGAACUUUUUAACUGAAGCUGGCUUUUGUGUGAGUGAGAGAGUGCUCAGGAAUGAACAACCCAAACAGUGGUACAGUUUUGAGCCACUGCUUUUAUUCAUGCCCUUGCAUCAGUGAACUUACCAUUGCUUUUUACCUUCAAUGCAAAUUUGACUUCUCCAAAAGUAGUAUAAAAAUUCCAUGAGUCACUUAGGCUUUUUAUGGAGUGGGAUUUCAUACAAGGAGAAAAUUAUCUUAAAGGUCCUAUGGAAGUAAACAUGUCCAAUAAUGGUCACAAAAAUGGUGAAAAAGUGUAAUGGAUUUUUGUUUCUGGUCUGACAGACUAACUGCUACACAAAGUGCUGUCUCACCAUAAACAAUUAGGAAAACAGGCAAAAUAUAUGCCACAACAGUUUUUCACAGAUUGGACAAGCAGCAGCCAAGGGCUGAAAUUCCUAAGAAAAGGGAAACCAAUGAGGUCAUCCCUAGCUCUGGAAUAUUCCUUGGAGGCAGUUUCCAGGAUACAGCACAGGUACAGGACAUGCAAGCAGAACCCAGCAGUCUCAGUGAGUUGAGGCAAAGAAUUCUUGGAAACUAAGGAAGCUUCAUUUGUGGGGCAGAAUCUGGAAGAGAAGUUUUGAGGGGGAGAUCUUAAGAAAUCUGCAGAGAAGUGUCUUCAAAUCAUGGGCUGACACUGACCUGCAUAUGUUUAGAUGAAACUCCCA
Molecule: long non-coding RNA, 5235 nt
Filed under: Sus scrofa (pig)
Lineage: Eukaryota; Metazoa; Chordata; Mammalia; Artiodactyla; Suidae
Description: lncRNA (ENSSSCG00035042824.1)
Source: RNAcentral